Molecule: small nucleolar RNA, 122 nt
Filed under: Echinops telfairi (small Madagascar hedgehog)
Lineage: Eukaryota; Metazoa; Chordata; Mammalia; Afrosoricida; Tenrecidae
Description: Small nucleolar RNA SNORA61 (ENSETEG00000026855.1)
Source: RNAcentral
GACCUCCAGAUACCUGACUCCUCAGAUCUAAAUAUUGAUCCAAGUGGCUAAAAAAGGAGGUAAAGUAAAACUGAAGUCCACUUGGGAGUCUCUGGUGACGUACCAGUUCAUUUCAAGCAUAU